This is a non-coding RNA of Chelonoidis abingdonii (Abingdon island giant tortoise), 96 nucleotides long. NCBI's taxonomy places the organism in Eukaryota, Metazoa, Chordata, Testudines, Testudinidae. The record is from RefSeq and is a predicted model, not a curated record.
AAGGCUAAAUGCCGCAUUGAACUGGACCUUGCGAAGGGAAUCAAACCAUAGUAAAGGUUCUACAGCCACAUAAAUUAGAAGAAAACAAAGAAAGAA